Molecule: long non-coding RNA, 1097 nt
Organism: Coregonus clupeaformis (lake whitefish)
Lineage: Eukaryota; Metazoa; Chordata; Actinopteri; Salmoniformes; Salmonidae
Exons: 3
Source: RefSeq, a predicted model, not a curated record
CACGUUCGACUGUGCGUCAAGAAUUCAGCAUAGCAAGUUUGUAUGAAGGUCUGGUUAUUCACAGGUAAAUAGUAAUAUGCUCUAAACCGAUCUGGUAACAACCAAACUUUGCUGCCCUGUUUCCAAUCGUCCACAUGGCUGGGAGAACCUAUUCAAGAAAAUACAGAGAGCAGUGAAAGCCUGUCUGCAGAUGAAGAGGUCCCAAUGAAGAGCGGUGGUUCUCAGUCCUGGUCCUGGGCGGUGGUUCCCAGUCCUGGUCCUGGGCGGUGGUUCCCAGUCCUGGUCCUGGGCGGUGGUUCCCAGUCCUGGUCCUGGGCGGUGGUUCCCAGUCCUGGUCCUGGGCGGUGGUUCUCAGUCCUGGUCCUGGGCGGUGGUUCUCAGUCCUGGUCCUGGGCGGUGGUUCCCAGUCCUGGUCCUGGGCGGUGGUUCCCAGUCCUGGUCCUGGGCGGUGGUUCUCAGUCCUGGUCCUGGGCGGUGGUUCUCAGUCCUGGUCCUGGGCGGUGGUUCUCAGUCCUGGUCCUGGGCGGUGGUUCUCAGUCCUGGUCCCGGGGACCCAAUGGGGUGCACGUUUUAGUUCUUGCCUUAACACUACACAGCUGAUUCAAAGGAUCAACUCAUCAUCAAGCUUCAAGUGAUACCUUGGAACUGGAGAUUCCUUCAAAACGAUUGGCUACAGUUACCGUGUAGGGCACUGCAAGGUUGGGUGACCAGGGCCAUCUGGGACUGCCUCCUGGGGGUAUUCAGGCCUGUGAAGGCUUCCUGUGUCCUGCAUAACUUCAUGAGGAUGGACAUGAGGACCAGGAGGGGGUCUGCAGCUCACCACCGUGUGCCAGAGGAGAGGUCUGCUGCUCUGCAGGAUGUUUCAAGGAUGGGGGCCGACAACUCCAUAGACUCCACUAUGCACAACCAAAGGCUCUGUUAAGAUCCAUCCACAUGGCAAUAUGAGUAUUCUUCCAUUUACUAGAUAUGUCAACUGCAGGUAUUACAUUCCCAGUUUCUCUCCUUUUGAUUUCUACUUCUCAGGUGAGGGUGCUGUUCAGGUGAGGGUGCUGUUCAGGUGAGGGUGCUGUUCAGGUGAGGGUGCUGUUCAGGUGAGG